GAUGAACGCUGGCGGCGUGCCUAAUACAUGCAAGUCGAGCGAACAGACGAGGAGCUUGCUCCUCUGACGUUAGCGGCGGACGGGUGAGUAACACGUGGAUAACCUACCUAUAAGACUGGGAUAACUUCGGGAAACCGGAGCUAAUACCGGAUAAUAUAUUGAACCGCAUGGUUCAAUAGUGAAAGACGGUUUUGCUGUCACUUAUAGAUGGAUCCGCGCCGCAUUAGCUAGUUGGUAAGGUAACGGCUUACCAAGGCAACGAUGCGUAGCCGACCUGAGACGGUGAUCGGCCACACUGGAACUGAGACACGGUCCAGACUCCUACGGGAGGCAGCAGUAGGGAAUCUUCCGCAAUGGGCGAAAGCUUGACGGAGCAACGCCGCGUGAGUGAUGAAGGUCUUCGGAUCGUAAAACUCUGUUAUUAGGGAAGAACAAAUGUGUAAGUAACUAUGCACGUCUUGACGGUACCUAAUCAGAAAGCCACGGCUAACUACGUG
Molecule: ribosomal RNA, 497 nt
Filed under: uncultured bacterium
Lineage: Bacteria
Description: partial 16S ribosomal RNA
Rfam family: Bacterial small subunit ribosomal RNA
Source: RNAcentral